Molecule: ribosomal RNA, 253 nt
Filed under: uncultured bacterium
Lineage: Bacteria
Description: partial 16S ribosomal RNA
Rfam family: Bacterial small subunit ribosomal RNA
Source: RNAcentral
UACGUAGGUGGCAAGCGUUAUCCGGAAUUAUUGGGCGUAAAGCGCGCGCAGGUGGUUUCUUAAGUCUGAUGUGAAAGCCCACGGCUCAACCGUGGAGGGUCAUUGGAAACUGGGAGACUUGAGUGCAGAAGAGGAAAGUGGAAUUCCAUGUGUAGCGGUGAAAUGCGUAGAGAUAUGGAGGAACACCAGUGGCGAAGGCGGCAUCCUGGACCAAUUCUGACGCUGAGGAGCGAAAGCCAGGGGAGCAAACAGG